UAACAGAGCAACUGCGCCCGGG
RNAcentral lists this microRNA (22 nucleotides) under Canis lupus familiaris (dog). Its description in RNAcentral is "cfa-miR-8904a". Lineage: Eukaryota; Metazoa; Chordata; Mammalia; Carnivora; Canidae. The record is from miRBase by way of RNAcentral.